This 198-nucleotide ribosomal RNA is filed under the name uncultured Lactobacillus sp. RNAcentral's name for it is "partial 16S ribosomal RNA". It matches the Rfam family "Bacterial small subunit ribosomal RNA", at positions 335 to 525 of the family's 1533-position model. The record is from RNAcentral. Lineage: Bacteria; Bacillati; Bacillota; Bacilli; Lactobacillales; Lactobacillaceae.
ACUCCUACGGGAGGCAGCAGUAGGGAAUCUUCCACAAUGGGCGCAAGCCUGAUGGAGCAACACCGCGUGAGUGAAGAAGGGUUUCGGCUCGUAAAGCUCUGUUGUUGGAGAAGAACGUGCGUGAGAGUAACUGUUCACGCAGUGACGGUAUCCAACCAGAAAGUCACGGCUAACUACGUGCCAGCAGCCGCGGUAAUA